RNAcentral lists this ribosomal RNA (253 nucleotides) under uncultured bacterium. Its description in RNAcentral is "partial 16S ribosomal RNA". It matches the Rfam family "Bacterial small subunit ribosomal RNA", at positions 524 to 776 of the family's 1533-position model. The record is from RNAcentral.
UACGUAGGGGGCAAGCGUUGUCCGGAUUCAUUGGGCGUAAAGAGCGUGUAGGCGGCCAGGUAGGUCGGUUGUGAAAACUGGAGGCUCAACCUUCAGAGGUCGACCGAAACCAUCUGGCUAGAGUCCGGGAGAGGAGAGUGGAAUUCCUGGUGUAGCGGUGAAAUGCGCAGAUAUCAGGAAGAACACCCGUGGCGAAGGCAGCUCGCUGGGACGUUACUGACGCUGAGACGCGAAAGCGUGGGGAGCAAACAGG